AUGACUGGCAGCAGUUGCAGGAGGGAGACAACGGCCGUGACCCUGCUGGAGUGCGGGGGGGACCUCCAGCCCCCCGGGUGGUCCCUGCGCCUCCUCUGCCGAGGCUCCAGGUUCAGUUUUGGGAAUUUUGCCAUGAACUGGGUGCGCCAGAAACACGGGCAGGGGCUGGAAUACAUCGCCGGCAUCAACAGUGAUGGUGGCAGCACCCGGUACGCGGAAUCAGUCAAGGGCCGGUUCACGAUCUCCAGGGACAACGGGCAGAGCUCGGUGACACUGACCAUGAACAACCUCAAGGACGAGGAUUCCAGAUCCUAUUUCUGUGCCAAAUCUGCUGGUGCUGCUUGGGCUCCUGCUGCGCAUCCUUUUCUCCCCAUCCGCAUUGCUGUUUUCCCACUUGUCCCUAUUUUCCAGAUUCUUUCCCCAAACUCCAGCUCCUGA
Non-coding RNA from Melozone crissalis (California towhee), 438 nucleotides. Lineage: Eukaryota; Metazoa; Chordata; Aves; Passeriformes; Passerellidae. The record is from the annotation of a RefSeq genome assembly.